Molecule: long non-coding RNA, 2449 nt
Organism: Pleuronectes platessa (European plaice)
Lineage: Eukaryota; Metazoa; Chordata; Actinopteri; Pleuronectiformes; Pleuronectidae
Exons: 4
Source: RefSeq, a predicted model, not a curated record
CCUCCAACACAGUAAUGACAGUUUUAUCAGUUUAACCACGUUUGCCAUCUCCAGGACUGGGCUGCUCUCCAGUCCUGUCUGCUGUGUGCUCAGCUCGGCUCCGCUAAAACCAGAUACUAACAAGAGCCCCUUGUAUAUCCAUUAUGCAGAUCUAGUGUAGCUCCCACUGACGGGGUACGUGCGCUGCCGUGCUUGUGUUCUGAAACCGGUCCAGGUUUAACAUAUGGAACCUGCCUGCCAGCACCUACCUCACUGACACCUUGUCUCUUCCAACUCUAACCUGACUGUUAUGUGUUUUGGGGCCCUGGAAGACGCUGUGUAGAAAGCCAGUCAGCAGAGGUCACAGCCAGCGUGCGCCACAGCCUCUCUGGCAGCCAGAACUCGCUGCGCUGAGGAAACUGCACCCUGCAACACAAACAACCCAUCAGCCACAGCAGCGCUUCAGCACCAACUGCUAAUCCUGGUACCUCCCUGCGAGGGCUGUGCUACUAACAUGGCUUAAAAACAAUUGGAUUUGUCAUCAAAUUCCAUCUUGAUGACAUGGACUUGGACUGAAGGGGCCUGAACUAGGUCUAAGGAGUCCAAUACACGACUGUCUUCAGCAAGAGAACGAUUGACAUUUGGACAAAGACGUGCACCUGGAGAAAGUGUUGACAUCCACAUGCUACAUCUGAUACACAAAUCACGUGCAGGUGAAGAGCUUAACCAGGUUCAGGGGCUCGGACUACUCAUGUGACAACUUACUAUUAAAUUCAAUGGGGGGAACAGCCAAGCUGGAUGUACCGCUGCAGGGAACUGAAUGCAAACUGAGUUGUGGGGCUGUGGCUCAGGAGGUAAAGCGGGUCGUCCACUAGGAAAAGCGCCAUAUAAAUACAGUCCAUUCACAAAUCCCACAAGUGUUUGGUUUUCAGUUUGAAUUAUAUUUGAAGCUGGAUCAACUUAACAAUUCACACUGUUUCCUUUUUAUUGAAUUGUUCCUUUUGUAGUCCUUCCAUGUUGGCACAGGCUCUGUGAAGCUGAGAGCUGAAACUGUCAGAUGCUGUAAGGCUUUUGUCACGGUAACAAUGACACAUUACAAACUGGGCAUUUUAAUUCAAGCUCAGACCCGGAAGCUGCGAUCUAUAGAUCAAAAGUGAAAAGCACCAGGUCCCGGUCUCGUCUUCGGAGAUAUGAUAGCACAUAAUGACACAUACACAGAUCCCCCUCCUGUAGGUGCAGGGUCAGUGUUACCUUAUUCAACAGUUCUUUGUACAGCGGUGUGUUCUGAACAAACCAGACUGAACUCUCUGCCACGUAAGCCUUUAGAAAUUACGAUCCAAGCCUCAGGCCUCAGUGUUCUCAGAACAUGUCCCUAUCUCUUCAAGCAGAUCACAGUACAACACCUAGCACCAUGACUCAGAAAUCCUCUGUCAUGAUGAACUCGAACAUAACGCCACAGUGCUUAACAAGGACUUCUCUAUGUGCCGCGCAAUGUCUGAAUACACGCUGAGAGGCCUGAGACUAGAUGUAGGUGGAGUGAUACCGUCUCUCACGGUGUUGGUAAACACUUAUUGUGCUACUUGAAACUGUCUGCACUCACAGAUUCUCUUCUUCUUGCACGACACCAAGAUAAACUGUUAUGGACACUCUGCAAAGAGAUUCAGAUCCUGAUAGAGGAUGGAGCUGAAUGAACAUUUUCCCAGGGUGCUAUGGGGUGUGAGACGUUGAGGGUAAAUGUGUUUUGUCUUGUGGCUGACGGUGGUCGGUUUGUUUAAGGAAGGCAGGAGAAGCAAUUUAGUUUUGUUUUUUCUCAACUAGGAUUGAUAUUUUAUCUCAGCUUUCCCUUUCAGAAUAAAAAAUGAACCCAAAGGAGUAUAAUGCCCAUAGGCUCAUAAAUAGAUCUGCAAGUUUACAUGGUUGAAUGAUUAAUCGUUUGCUAUUUUAAAUACCUUUUCCCAAAUGUCCUACAACCCAUAGGGUUAUUAAAAUAUACUUGUUUGGUAUUUGACUAAUCCAAAAAUAAAGUAUUCAAAGUAUGCCCCACCCAUAAUAUACUUUAACAUCAAUAUGAAUCGUUCUGCUCAGUUUACUGAUACCUUGGCUGUAAUCUAAAAUGUGUUUGUUCAGCAUCUCUCCAGUAAUAGUGACCAGAAUAUGCAGUGUUAUCAACAUUGUCCUAAAUAAAAAAAAUGCCUCAUUCUUAUAUAGUUGGUGAAUAUGUGAAAAUCACUAUGCAGUUAAGAUAUUAUGGUUGAGGUUGCAGAACAAUCUGUUAAACUAUUUGUGCUUUGCUUCUUUCAAAUACACUGACAAAAGAUAAUUAAUAUCCAUUAAAACAAAUGGGGGAAAAAACAGAUGAAAUAAGUUUUGUUUUCUAAUUAAAAUGAUAAGUAUAAUUCGUUAAUUUUAAUAAUGUUAUAGUAUUCUAAGAUAUCUGGGUGACUGUGUGCCUUUUAACAAGCAUCUAAGU